GAUGAACGCUGGCGGCGUGCCUAAUACAUGCAAGUCGAGCGAACGGACGAGAAGCUUGCUUCUCUGAUGUUAGCGGCGGACGGGAGAGUAACACGUGGAUAACCUACCUAUAAGACUGGGAUAACUUCGGGAAACCGGAGCUAAUACCGGAUAAUAUUUUGAACCGCAUGGUUCAAACGUGAAAGACGGUCUUGCUGUCACUUAUAGAUGGAUCAGCGUUGCAUUAGCUAGUUGGUAAGGUAACGGCUUACCAAGGCAACGAUGCAUAGCCGCCCCGAGAGGGACAACGGCCAGACUGGCAGUGAGGAACGGUCCAGACACCUGCACGAGGAAGCAGUAGAGAAUCUUACGGGAGGGAGGAAUGGCGGAUGUUGCACCGCCGGCGGAGUGCUGAUCCACUUCGGCCGCUAGAACUCUGUAAGCAGGAAGGUUCAAAUGUGCAAGUACCUGGGCACAUCAUGACGGUACCUAAACAAAAAGCCACGGCUAACUCCGUG
This 497-nucleotide ribosomal RNA is filed under the name uncultured bacterium. RNAcentral describes it as "partial 16S ribosomal RNA". It matches the Rfam family "Bacterial small subunit ribosomal RNA", at positions 28 to 507 of the family's 1533-position model. The record is from RNAcentral.